AAGCCAGACUCCUACGGGAGGCAGCAGUAGGGAAUAUUGCUCAAUGGGGGAAACCCUGAACCAGCAACGCCGCGUGAGGGAAGACGGUUUUCGGAUUGUAAACCUCUGUCCUCUGUGAAGAUAAUGACGGUAGCGGAGGAGGAAGCUCCGGCUAACUACGUGCCAGCAGCCGCGGUAAUACGUAGGGAGCAAGCGUUGUCCGGAUUUACUGGGUGUAAAGGGUGCGUAGGCGGCCCUGCAAGUCAGAAGUGAAAUCCAUGGGCUUAACCCGUGAACUGCUUUUGAAACUGUAGGGCUUGAGUGAAGUAGAGGCAGGCGGAAUUCCCGGUGUAGCGGUGAAAUGCGUAGAGAUCGGGAGGAACACCAGUGGCGAAGGCGGCCUGCUGGGCUUUAACUGACGCUGAAGCACGAAAGCGUGGGUAGCAAACAGGAUUAGAUACCCUGGUACCC
This 450-nucleotide ribosomal RNA is filed under the name uncultured bacterium. Its description in RNAcentral is "partial 16S ribosomal RNA". It matches the Rfam family "Bacterial small subunit ribosomal RNA", at positions 328 to 795 of the family's 1533-position model. The record is from RNAcentral.